Molecule: ribosomal RNA, 728 nt
Filed under: uncultured Serratia sp.
Lineage: Bacteria; Pseudomonadati; Pseudomonadota; Gammaproteobacteria; Enterobacterales; Yersiniaceae
Description: bacterial SSU rRNA
Rfam family: Bacterial small subunit ribosomal RNA
Source: RNAcentral
UCGAGCGGUAGCACAGGGGAGCUUGCUCCCUGGGUGACGAGCGGCGGACGGGUGAGUAAUGUCUGGGAAACUGCCUGAUGGAGGGGGAUAACUACUGGAAACGGUAGCUAAUACCGCAUAACGUUGCAAGACCAAAGAGGGGGACCUUCGGGCCUCUUGCCAUCAGAUGUGCCCAGAUGGGAUUAGCUAGUAGGUGGGGUAAUGGCUCACCUAGGCGACGAUCCCUAGCUGGUCUGAGAGGAUGACCAGCCACACUGGAACUGAGACACGGUCCAGACUCCGACGGGAGGCAGCAGUGGGGAAUAUUGCACAAUGGGCGCAAGCCUGAUGCAGCCAUGCCGCGUGUGUGAAGAAGGCCUUCGGGUUGUAAAGCGCUUUCAGCGAGGAGGAAGGUGGUGAGCUUAAUACGCUCAUCAAUUGACGUUACUCGCAGAAGAAGCACCGGCUAACUCCGUGCCAGCAGCCGCGGUAAUACGGAGGGUGCAAGCGUUAAUCGGAAUUACUGGGCGUAAAGCGCACGCAGGCGGUUUGUUAAGUCAGAUGUGAAAUCCCCGGGCUCAACCUGGGAACUGCAUUUGAAACUGGCAAGCUAGAGUCUCGUAGAGGGGGGUAGAAUUCCAGGUGUAGCGGUGAAAUGCGUAGAGAUCUGGAGGAAUACCGGUGGCGAAGGCGGCCCCCUGGACGAAGACUGACGCUCAGGUGCGAAAGCGUGGGGAGCAAACAGGAUU